This 169-nucleotide ribosomal RNA is filed under the name Fomitiporia elegans. RNAcentral's name for it is "5.8S ribosomal RNA". It matches the Rfam family "5.8S ribosomal RNA". Rfam says of the family: 5.8S ribosomal RNA (5.8S rRNA) is a component of the large subunit of the eukaryotic ribosome. It is transcribed by RNA polymerase I as part of the 45S precursor that also contains 18S and 28S rRNA. Lineage: Eukaryota; Fungi; Basidiomycota; Agaricomycetes; Hymenochaetales; Hymenochaetaceae. The record is from RNAcentral.
CAACUUUCAACAACGGAUCUCUUGGCUCUCGCAUCGAUGAARAACGCASCGAAAUGCGAUAAGUAAUGUGAAUUGCARAAUUCAGUGAAUCAUCGAAUCUUUGAACGCACCUUGCGCCCCUUGGUAUUCCGAGGGGCAUGCCUGUUUGAGGUGUCAUGUAAUUCUCAMU